Molecule: ribosomal RNA, 464 nt
Filed under: uncultured bacterium
Lineage: Bacteria
Description: bacterial SSU rRNA
Rfam family: Bacterial small subunit ribosomal RNA
Source: RNAcentral
AAUCAGCCGUACUCCGAAUGCCUAGNAUUUAAGUUGAUCAUGGCUCAGAUUCAACGCUAUNAGGGAUGCCUUACACAUGCAAGUCGAACGGCAGCACGGACUUCGGUCUGGUGGCGAGUGGCGAACGGGUGAGUAAUGUAUCGGAACGUGCCCAGUAGCGGGGGGUAACUACGCGAAAGCGUAGCUAAUACCGCAUACGCCCUACGGGGGAAAGCAGGGGGUCGCAAGACCUUGCACUAUUGGAGCGGCCGAUAUCGGAUUAGCUAGUUGGUGGGGUAACGGCUCACCAAGGCGACGAUCCGUAGCUGGUUUGAGAGGACGACCAGCCAACACUGGGACUGAGACACGGCCAGACUCCUACGGGAGGCAGCAGUGAGGGAAUUUUGGACAAUGGGGGAAACCUGAUCCAGCCAUNCCGCGUGUGCGAUGAAGGCCUUCGGGUUGUAAAGCACUUUNUGGCAGGA